Molecule: ribosomal RNA, 373 nt
Filed under: uncultured organism
Description: partial 16S ribosomal RNA
Rfam family: Bacterial small subunit ribosomal RNA
Source: RNAcentral
GUAGGUGGCAAGCGUUGUCCGGAAUUAUUGGGGCGUAAAGCGCGCGCAGGCGGUUCUUUAAGUCUGAUGUGAAAGCCCACGGGCUCAACCGUGGAGGGUCAUUGGAAACUGGAGAACUUGAGUACAGAAGAGGAAAGCGGAAUUCCACGUGUAGCGGUGAAAUGCGUAGAGAUGUGGAGGAACACCAGUGGCGAAGGCGGCUUUCUGGUCUGUAACUGACGCUGAGGCGCGAAAGCGUGGGGAGCAAACAGGAUUAGAUACCCUGGUAGUCCAUGCCGUAAACGAUGAGUGCUAAGUGUUAGGGGGUUUCCGCCCCUUAGUGCUGCAGCUAACGCAUUAAGCACUCCGCCUGGGGAGUACGACCGCAAGGUUG